RNAcentral lists this ribosomal RNA (915 nucleotides) under Triticum aestivum (bread wheat). RNAcentral's name for it is "partial small subunit ribosomal RNA". The record is from RNAcentral. Lineage: Eukaryota; Viridiplantae; Streptophyta; Magnoliopsida; Poales; Poaceae.
AUGAACAAAACCGGGCGGCUGGCUUUGGUCAAAUCGGUGCUCGCCGCGAUUCCGAUACAUCAACUGCUCGCGUUCGCGCCGCCCAAGAAGACCUUGAGACAGCUCGAAAAGAUCCAGCGCGGCUUCUUGUGGGCCGGGAGCGCCGUUGCUAAUGGCGGACACUGCCAUGUCAACUGGCGACGUGUGUGCCGCCCGCUCGAGUACGGCGGACUUGGGGUCCAGGAUCUGGAGCGUGCUGGCCUCGCGCUGCGCCUGCGCUGGAUGUGGCUCUCCCACACGGACGACGAUCGCGCAUGGCGAGGCCUCGACCUCCAGUUUUCCCGCGAGGAGCGCGCGUUGUUCUUCGCAUCGACGACCAUAGAGCUUGGUGAUGGACAGACAACACUGUUUUGGGAUGACCGAUGGCUCAAUGGUCAGUCCGUGCGUGAACUCGCACGGGCACUCUACCAAUGCAUCCCCAAACGGCGACGCAAGUCGAGAACGGUGGCCGCAGGCCUUGCGGGCAACGCUUGGGCUCGUGACAUUCAAGGAGUGAUCGGGAUUCAUGAGAUUGGCCAAUAUCUCAGACUUUGGCAUGCCGUGCAGCACAUCAGCCUACCAAACCGGCCUGACCGGAUGCUUUGGAGAUGGACGGCUAGUGGCACCUAUACGGCACGGUCAUGCUACGCUGCAACCUUCCACGGAUCUAUGAAAUGCCCCUCCUGGAAGCUUACAUGGAAGAGCUGGGCACCGCGACGCGUCCAUUUCUUUCACUGGUUGGCUAGCCAGGACCGGUGUUGGACGGCGGAUAGACUCGCCCGUCGCGGCCUACAGCACCAUCCACGAUGCCGCCUCUAUGAUCAGGCCCCAGAGUCGAUGUGGCACCUGCUCCUAGAAUGCCCGUUUACGCGGCAGGUUUGGUACGACGUGCUGGCU